GCUUACCAAGGCAACGAUGCGUAGCCGACCUGAGAGGGUGAUCGGCCACACUGGAACUGAGACACGGUCCAGACUCCUACGGGAGGCAGCAGUAGGGACUCUUCCGCAAUGGGCGAAAGCCUGACGGAGCAACGCCGCGUGAGUGAUGAAGGUCUUCGGAUCGUAAAACUCUGUUAUUAGGGAAGAACAAAUGUGUAAGUAACUAUGCACGUCUUGACGG
RNAcentral lists this ribosomal RNA (220 nucleotides) under Staphylococcus epidermidis. Its description in RNAcentral is "partial 16S ribosomal RNA". It matches the Rfam family "Bacterial small subunit ribosomal RNA", at positions 263 to 475 of the family's 1533-position model. The record is from RNAcentral. Lineage: Bacteria; Bacillati; Bacillota; Bacilli; Caryophanales; Staphylococcaceae.